RNAcentral lists this ribosomal RNA (305 nucleotides) under uncultured bacterium. RNAcentral's name for it is "bacterial SSU rRNA". It matches the Rfam family "Bacterial small subunit ribosomal RNA", at positions 332 to 635 of the family's 1533-position model. The record is from RNAcentral.
CAUACCCUACGGGACGCAGCAGUGAGGAAUAUUGGUCAAUGGGCGGGAGCCUGAACUAGCCAAGUCGCGUGAGGGAAGACGGUCCUAUGGAUUGUAAACCUCUUUAGGCGGGGAGCAAUGCCGGGCACGUGUGCCCGGAGGGAGAGUACCCGCAGAAUAAGCAUCGGCCAACUCCGUGCCAGCAGCCGCGGUAAUACGGAGGAUGUGAGCGUUAUCCGGAUUUAUUGGGUUUAAAGGGUGCGUAGGCGGAUUUUUAAGUCAGCGGUAAAAUGUCCGGGCUCAACCCGGGCCGGCCGUUGAAACUG